AAUGUGCCCUUCUCUACGGAAUAGCCACUGGAAACGGUGAGUAAUACCGUAUACGCCCUCAGGGGGAAAGAUUUAUCGGAGAAGGAUCAGCCCGCGUUAGAUUAGGUAGUUGGUGGGGUAACGGCCUACCAAGCCUACGAUCUAUAGCUGGUUUUAGAGGAUGAUCAGCCACACUGGGACUGAGACACGGCCCAGACUCCUACGGGAGGCAGCAGUAGGGAAUCUUGGACAAUGGGGGCAACCCUGAUCCAGCCAUGCCGCGUGAGUGAAGAAGGCCCUAGGGUCGUAAAGCUCUUUCGCCUGUGAUGAUAAUGACAGUAGCAGGUAAAGAAACCCCGGCUAACUCCGUGCCAGCAGCCGCGGUAAUACGGAGGGGGUUAGCGU
RNAcentral lists this ribosomal RNA (384 nucleotides) under uncultured bacterium. RNAcentral describes it as "bacterial SSU rRNA". It matches the Rfam family "Bacterial small subunit ribosomal RNA", at positions 123 to 541 of the family's 1533-position model. The record is from RNAcentral.